CACGGCCCAAACUCCUACGGGAGGCAGCAGUGGGGAAUAUUGCACAAUGGGGGAAACCCUGAUGCAGCGACGCCGCGUGAGCGAAGAAGUAUUUCGGUAUGUAAAGCUCUAUCAGCAAGGAAGAUAAUGACGGUACUUGACUAAGAAGCUCCGGCUAAAUACGUGCCAGCAGCCGCGGUAAUACGUAUGGAGCAAGCGUUAUCCGGAUUUACUGGGUGUAAAGGGAGCGUAGACGGCAUGGCAAGUCUGAUGUGAAAGCCCGGGGCUCAACCCCGGAACUGCAUUGGAAACUGUCGUGCUGGAGUGCAGGAGAGGUAAGCGGAAUUCCUAGUGUAGCGGUGAAAUGCGUAGAUAUUAGGAGGAACACCAGUGGCGAAGGCGGCUUACUGGACUGUAACUGACGUUGAGGCUCGAAAGCGUGGGGAGCAAACAGGAUUAGAUACCCUGGUAGUCCACGCCGUAAACGAU
This 468-nucleotide ribosomal RNA is filed under the name uncultured bacterium. Its description in RNAcentral is "bacterial SSU rRNA". It matches the Rfam family "Bacterial small subunit ribosomal RNA", at positions 325 to 810 of the family's 1533-position model. The record is from RNAcentral.